GAUGAACGCUAGCGACAGGCCUAACACAUGCAAGUCAGGGGCAGCAUUAUUGAAGCUUGCUUUAAUAGAUGGCGACCGGCGCACGGGUGCGUAACGCGUAUGCAACCUACCCAUUACAAGAGGAUAGCCCAGAGAAAUUUGGAUUAAUACUCUAUAGUAUUUACUCUAAGCAUUUAGAGUUUUUUAAAGGAUUCGUUCUGGUAAUGGAUGGGCAUGCGUAUGAUUAGCUAGUUGGUAGGGUAACGGCCUACCAAGGCAAUGAUCAUUAGGGGUUCUGAGAGGAUAGUCCCCCACACUGGUACUGAGACACGGACCAGACUCCUACGGGAGGCAGCAGUGAGGAAUAUUGGUCAAUGGACGCAAGUCUGAACCAGCCAAGUCGCGUGCAGGAUGACUGCCCUAUGGGUUGUAAACUGCUUUUAUAUAGGAAUAAUGUUAGUUACGCGUAACUAUUUGAAUGUACUAUAUGAAUAAGCACCGGCUAACUCCGUGCCAGCAGCCGCGGUAAUACGGAGGGUGCAAGCGUUAUCCGGAUUUAUUGGGUUUAAAGGGUGCGUAGGCGGGUUCAUAAGUCAGUGGUGAAAGUCUGUCGCUUAACGAUAGAAUUGCCAUUGAAACUGUGGAUCUUGAAUACAGUAGAGGUAGGCGGAAUAUAUUGUGUAGCGGUGAAAUGCAUAGAUACGAUAUAGAACACCGAUUGCGAAGGCAGCUUACUAUGCUGAGAUUGACGCUGAUGCACGAAAGCGUGGGUAGCGAACAGG
RNAcentral lists this ribosomal RNA (761 nucleotides) under uncultured bacterium. RNAcentral describes it as "bacterial SSU rRNA". It matches the Rfam family "Bacterial small subunit ribosomal RNA", at positions 28 to 776 of the family's 1533-position model. The record is from RNAcentral.